GAACUUGACUAGACGCGAAACGCGAUUUUAAACGGAAACACCGGACGAAGCCGAACCGAAGCGAAUAGUGGUUUCAAUCGAACGUGAUUUACGACGAAUAUUUAUCACGGGAGUGAACGACGAAUUCGACACGACCACGACGCGUGCAGUUCCUUCAGGAAAACUUGGGGAUCUAUUUUCGCCGUUGAAAGGCGCGCGGGAACGCGUUCGCGGCGGGUUUCUCGAACCGCGGUGCUUUAGUACGGCCAGUCUCUCCGCUUCGUGCAGAACUUCGUCGAUCCCGGAAUAGUUUCGUCGGUUGCUCGUUGAAGUUUUUCGCGCGGCCGUUGCACGGGCCAAUUUGCAGUCGUUUCGAGCGUGUUCGUUCACGAAUCCCACGUCGCUUGGCGUACAUAACCCUCCCCCGCGACACCAGCGUGUGAGUCGAGCGACGAUCGAAGUAUCGAUAACAGGUUUCAAAUUUCUCUCGAACGGUUCGUUCGUUGACACGAUCGUUCAACCUGGAAGCUGAUACGGAGAACGCGGGGAUGGAUGCCACGGACGUCCUCAGUCCUGACGCCCCGUCGGCGAACGAUGAGGAUGUUUUGAACAACGACAACGAUAAUGGCAACAACAACGAGGACGAGCAGGCGCCCACCGUCGAGGAGAGUUACGAGGUCACCACUACGAAGCGAAAGACCGUUCGGACCAGCUACAAGAUCCAAGAAACUUCUUCUUCGACCAAAACAACCACUAUGACAACUGCUGCAAAGCUAUAUGGCAAGGAUUUGAGUGAAUACGAUGAUGUGGAUGUGGAUGAAUUAUUGGCACAACUUACCCCAGAAGAAAUUAAUAUAUUAGCUAAAGAAGUGGAUCCUGAUGACAGUUUCAUGCCACCAUCACAACGUUGUAGCUAUGAAUGUGACAAGAGUCCUACAGGACCACUGAAUCGUAAGAAGCUUAUUGAACACAUCAAUAAACAAGCUUUGGAAACACCAGACAAACCUGAAUUAAAGCCUUAUGUACCUGGUGUCAUACGAGGCAAAAAGUGGGUUCCACCUCCUCAAGAAACUGCAAAAGAAAAAGAAGCAGAAGAGCAGAUUGCCAUUGAUCUUGGAGAAGAAUAUGAGCAAGCUUUAUCUAAUGCUACUCAAGAAGAAAUUAUUGAUCUUGCUGCUAUCCUUGGAUUUCAUUCUAUGAUGAAUCAAGAUCAAUACCAUGCUUCUCUGUUAAAUUCUGGCCAACCCGUUGGUUUGGGUUGGGAUGGUGUAACGAAAGCUAGUCAACCAAAACCUUACCCAAUGGAACCACCUAAUGAUACAGAUGUUGAUGCCACUAUCAAACAAGUUCGAGAGGACGAUGUUUCGCUAAUUGAUUUAAAUUGGAACAAUAUUAAAAAUAUAUCUGACGAGAAGUUUAUUCAACUAUUCGAAGGACUUGAGAUAAAUACACAUCUUGAAUCCUUAAGUUUAACAAAUGUGGGACUCACUGAUAAGACUGCACAAAGGUUGGCAGAGGCCUUAGAGAAAAAUUCUACGCUCAGAGUACUCAAUGUGGAAACAAACUUUAUAAGCCCAUCUGUGAUAGUGAGGCUCAUCAGAGCACUCCUUAAAACGAAGUCAAUGGAAGAAUUUCGAUGUUCGAAUCAGAGGUCACAGGUAUUGGGAAAUAAAAUUGAAAUGGAAAUUACACAAUUGGUAGAGCAAAAUCCGACAUUGCUCCGACUUGGUCUUCAUUUGGAGUUCAACGAUGCUAGACAUCGUGUGGCUGCACAUUUACAACGCAACAUUGACAGGAUACGGAAAGACCUAACGCUGCGGCUACAGUUCCGAUUCUUUAACAUGAACCACAGGAAAUCUGCCUUGAUUCAAUGAAAGUACGGCAGUCCCGGCUCGGGGUGGCGACAUCUUAACGCGAAGUGGCGUUCGCCUAGAUCGUCUACACCGCACGGG
This 1931-nucleotide unclassified non-coding RNA is filed under the name Eufriesea mexicana. Its description in RNAcentral is "tropomodulin, transcript variant X3". Lineage: Eukaryota; Metazoa; Arthropoda; Insecta; Hymenoptera; Apidae. The record is from RNAcentral.